RNAcentral lists this ribosomal RNA (503 nucleotides) under uncultured bacterium. RNAcentral's name for it is "partial 16S ribosomal RNA". It matches the Rfam family "Bacterial small subunit ribosomal RNA", at positions 28 to 523 of the family's 1533-position model. The record is from RNAcentral.
GAUGAACGCUAGCGACUGGCCUAACACAUGCAAGUCGAGGGGCAGCACAUGCGUAGCAAUACAAUGGUGGCGACCGGCGCACGGGUGAGUAACACGUAUGCAACCUACCUGUAAGAGGGGAAUAACCCGGAGAAAUUCGGACUAACACCGCAUAAUACCUCGAAGCUGCAUGGCUUUGAGGUUAAAUAUUUAUAGCUUACAGAUGGGCAUGCGUAACAUUAGAUAGUUGGUGAGGUAACGGCUCACCAAGUCAACGAUGUUUAGGGGUUCUGAGAGGAAGGUCCCCCACACUGGUACUGAGACACGGACCAGACUCCUACGGGAGGCAGCAGUGAGGAAUAUUGGUCAAUGGGCGAGAGCCUGAACCAGCCAAGUCGCGUGAAGGAAGAAGGUUCUAUGGAUUGUAAACUUCUUUUGUAAGGGAAUAAAAAAGCUUACGUGUAGGCUAUUGUAUGCACUUUACGAAUAAGGAUCGGCUAACUCCGUGCCAGCCGCCGCCGUAA